RNAcentral lists this transfer RNA (75 nucleotides) under Rhodobacter sp. RNAcentral describes it as "tRNA-Tyr". It matches the Rfam family "tRNA". Rfam says of the family: Transfer RNA (tRNA) molecules are approximately 80 nucleotides in length. Their secondary structure includes four short double-helical elements and three loops (D, anti-codon, and T loops). The record is from RNAcentral. Lineage: Bacteria; Pseudomonadati; Pseudomonadota; Alphaproteobacteria; Rhodobacterales.
GGGCGAUGUGCUGCAAGGUGCGGCAGCGGACUGUAACUCCGCCGNNGCCUGGUUCGAUUCCAGGAUCGCCCACCA